RNAcentral lists this signal recognition particle RNA (249 nucleotides) under Olavius algarvensis Delta 1 endosymbiont. Its description in RNAcentral is "Bacterial large signal recognition particle RNA". It matches the Rfam family "Bacterial large signal recognition particle RNA". From Rfam's summary of the family: The signal recognition particle (SRP) is a universally conserved ribonucleoprotein involved in the co-translational targeting of proteins to membranes. Archaeal SRP consists of a 7S RNA and homologues of the eukaryotic SRP19 and SRP54 proteins. The record is from Rfam by way of RNAcentral. Lineage: Bacteria; Deltaproteobacteria.
UUGUGCUAGGCGGGGAGUUAGCGGUGCCCUUAUCCCGAAAUCCGCUUUAUGCGGGGCUGAAUUCCCACCCCAGGAUCCGAUAAUUGGAAAACCUGAAUCGUUUUGAUCGGACACCACGCAACAGACGGUCGCGAACCUCGUCAGGUCCGGAAGGAAGCAGCGAUAAGUGAUGCAGUUUGUGUCGUGGAUUGAUCCCGAUCUGCAUAAUGAGCCGGGGUUUCCAAAAAAGAUACGAAGGUGGGUGCACAA